RNAcentral lists this non-coding RNA (27 nucleotides) under Homo sapiens (human). Lineage: Eukaryota; Metazoa; Chordata; Mammalia; Primates; Hominidae. The record is from RNAcentral.
UAAAACAUGGCACACUCUGCUGGUCCU